AUGAAGGGGCGGUUGGGAGCUCUGAGAGGUUUUACGGCUGCUUGUGCAGAUAGCCCUACUACACCCAAGAAUCCCAUUGUGGAAUUGAUAGACAGUGAUCAUGAUGUGUUUGACAAAAUUGCUGGCGUUGGAAGAGUCACGAGGAGCGCUGCUGCGAAAGGUUUAUCUCCCCUUGCUGGAAUAGUGGCUCGUAGAGCUGGUGGUGCUAGGAAAGAUUCCGCUUUGGAUUCUGGCAAUGUUGUAAGCACGAAGCGUGCGCCCAGAGCUCCUAUAAAGUUUUGCUCCCCUGUGCAGCAGCUUCACCCUUAUAAUUCCCUCACCUGGACAAGGCUCGCAGGUUGUAUAAUCUGUUGCUUAGUAAUGAAUGGCGUGAGAAGUAUGGCGAGAAUACAUUCUCAAUGA
RNAcentral lists this ribosomal RNA (402 nucleotides) under Triticum aestivum (bread wheat). RNAcentral describes it as "partial small subunit ribosomal RNA". Lineage: Eukaryota; Viridiplantae; Streptophyta; Magnoliopsida; Poales; Poaceae. The record is from RNAcentral.